CCUACGGGAGACAGCAGUGAGGAAUAUUGGUCAAUGGGCGCUAGCCUGAACCAGCCAAGUAGCGUGAAGGAUGACUGCCCUACGGGUUGUAAACUUCUUUUAUAAGGGAAUAAAGUGCAGUACGUAUACUGUUUUGCAUGUACUUUAUGAAUAAGGAUCGGCUAACUCCGUGCCAGCAGCCGCGGUAAUACGGAGGGUGCGAGCGUUAUCCGGAUUUACUGGGUGUAAAGGGAGCGUAGGCGGGAUGUAAAGUCAGUUGUGAAAGUUUACGGCUUAACCGUAGAACUGCAGUUGAAACUGUCAUUCUAGAGUACGGGAGAGGUAGGUGGAAUUCGUGGUGUAGCGGUAAAAUGCUUAGAUAUCACGAAGAACUCCGAUUGCGAAGGCCGCCUGCUAGACUGUAACUGACGCUGAUGCUCGAAAGUGUGGGUAUCAAACAGGAUUAGAUACCCUAGUAGUC
Molecule: ribosomal RNA, 460 nt
Filed under: uncultured bacterium
Lineage: Bacteria
Description: partial 16S ribosomal RNA
Rfam family: Bacterial small subunit ribosomal RNA
Source: RNAcentral